UGCAAUGAUCAGCUUGAUCAGCUGCACAUGCAGCAUUCAUGGCAUCCAACAGAGACAUCUGAUCUUGUGGUCUAUGAUCAUAUACUUUCCACCUCCAUGCUGAAAAAACUCUUCUACUGGAUUUAGGAAUGGAGAGUAUGGUGGAAGGAACUCCACUGUUAUCCUUUCAUGUGCAGCAAACCAGUCCCUAACAAUGCUGGUUCGGUGGAAGCUGACAUUAUCCCAGACAACAACAUAAUUAGGCAAAUGUGGUCUAACUAAACCUCUUUCUUGUUCUGGAAUCAGGUCUCUAUAAAGUGUGUUUAGGAAGGCCAGGAGAAGUUGGGUAUUAUAGGGCCCAAUGUGUGGAAUAUGUGUGCUCACACCAUUCUCUGAAAUGGCAGCACACAUUGUAAUAUUGGCCCCACGUUGGCCUGGUGUGUCAGUUGUGGCUCGGUGUCCAAUGAGAUUGCGACCACGUCUCCGGCCUUUGGACAGAUUGAACCCGUCCACAAAAACAAGAAUGUGGGUUGUUUCAUGUACUUCUAACUCCAUGAUUCUGUACGAAGAAACAAAAUAGUUCAUUUUUAUUCUAGAGUUCAGUAAAUGUUUUCUCUUCUUAUGGGUUUCUAAAACUUCAAGUAAUACAGGCAUCUUAGAAGUACAGUAAAACUCACUAAGUGCACACCAAUAGUUUACCUGGCCAUACUGGUACCGCAGCUCCUUCACUCUUUCACUAUUCCUCUCAAAUGGCACCUUGUAGUGUUGUUUCAUAGUCAUUUGAUGUCUUUUCAAAACUCUGUCUAUGGUGGAAAUGCUGACAGAAUUUAUAUUUGCGAAGACAUUAUUGUCAUUUAUGAUUGCACUUUGGAUCUCUCUUAGCCUGAUGGAAUUGUUGGCUAUGACCAUGUUGCAAAUUUCUUGUUCUUGCUGAUGGUUAAAUACUGCUGCUCUGCCACGAGCGCGAGGUUGUUGUGCGGUUCUAUAGAAUGUACAAAUAGACUUGCAUUUACCUUUACAAUAUUGUUGUUUAUAAAAAUGCUUUACAUACUGUAAAACAAAAAAAAUAAAUACAUAUUUACCUGUUUUCCCUACGAAAGGUUUGCACAGUUGAUGACACUGUGGACCUGUUUACAUUAGGCUGUACUCUUCGACCAGCCUCUUCCAUUGUAAAACCACGAUUUAUGACAUGAUCCACAAGUGUGGCUCUGAUUUCAUCAGAGACUCUGACUCUUCUAUUUCCACCUCUUCCUCUAUUAUGUCUUCCUCUAACACCACCACCACGUAUUCUUACACGUCUUCCAAUUGCUCUUCCACGAGCAUGUUGCUGCAGUUCAGGGUUGUGGAAGUCCUCCAUUCUUAGUGAUUGUGCUGUGGGCAAUCUACAUAUAUAUGCUCCCAAACUUGAUUGGUUAAAUGGUUGAAUGGUUGUUUCAAAUUGUAUUGCAAUUAGAGGUUAUUUGCCAAUUUAGCAGACAUUACAAACAAUGUCAAUGUCAGAUAUUUAUGGAAUAUACAUGCGUGUAUACCAAUUUUUCAUAAUUGAAUGGAUCGUUU
Molecule: long non-coding RNA, 1536 nt
Filed under: Sinocyclocheilus anshuiensis
Lineage: Eukaryota; Metazoa; Chordata; Actinopteri; Cypriniformes; Cyprinidae
Description: lncRNA (ENSSANG00000027258.1)
Source: RNAcentral